This is a long non-coding RNA of Frankliniella occidentalis (western flower thrips), 1572 nucleotides long. RefSeq lists it as uncharacterized. The record is from RefSeq and is a predicted model, not a curated record. Lineage: Eukaryota; Metazoa; Arthropoda; Insecta; Thysanoptera; Thripidae. The transcript is spliced from 3 exons.
UCUCCAGUCACAUCCAGUCAUUUGAUUGGCAAUCGGUGUACACAUUUUUGGGGAGUUGCGGCCCCCUCGUCAGCCAUCCUAAACUCGGCAAAUCGUAUGAUAAACACACAAAGUUUUACAUUUUGGGACGCAUGCAGUUUAGCAACGUCCAUUCUGGGACCGGAAUCGGAUUCCCGAGACCGUGCUACGUCGAAGCCAGUGGUAGACUCCUGGAGCGUCCUGGCUCCGAGAAGGGACGUUUUUCUACAUUGCAUCGAAACACCUCAAAAAACUAGAUAUCUUGGUAGACCCAAUCAUUAGCAAACACAUUUCUUUUUCAAAAUGGAGGGGUCUCUGCAAUUCAAAUAAAUCACAUGUAGAAUGACUCAUCUGCUGACACCCCAGCAAGAUCGCCACCGCGUCUGCCCGUUGGGUUGCCUACCCACCGGCGCCAUAUAAACAGAAAUUUGCAUUUGGCUCUGCGGCGCCACAUAUUAUUACGACUCCAAGUGAUCGAGGAGGAGCGAGGAAAGUAGGGGGAGGGAGGGGGGGUCGUGCAGUUAUUUUCCUUCUGGUAGCGACAGUCUUGGGGACUGUCUAAGAAACACUUCUAUCGGCACCCCAUGAUCUUCGUGUCGCUCAGCUGAAUAACAAUUAUUUGCUCAUCGACCAUGUACUUCCUCGUAAAUAAAACUUUUUCUUAAACAAUUUAUUAUGUAACAUCGAUAUUAAUCGUUCUAACACAACCAACUUUGUUUAAUACUUUUUUCAUCAAGUAGGCUACAUUUCCAUAUUUUUUGAUAUGUAGGACUUUUCUUCUGCUCCACUCCUUUCUUCCACUCUGGACGCCCGGGAAUGAAGGGUGCCUAAGUCGCACAGUUGCUGGACACCCCUGAUUUCACUAUACUUCCCCUGCCCGGAAAGGUGCCGUGGCUGCUGGCUGAGGCAGCUUCAAUCCUUAUACACACCAUUUACUGUUGUGCGUGUGGAACUCUUCCUUUAGUGUACUAAGUACACUGUUGGGUUUGGAGUGUAGUUCUUGUACUUUUCCGAUUUUGAAUUGUAAUAUUACGACACACUCUACGGAUAAUUGUCCCGUAAAACCUACAACUAUUUUUUCUCGUGAUCGGAAGAAGUCAUAAUUUUGUGUUUUCUUAUCAAAUAAAACUGUGUGGACUCAAGGUCAACUGCGGUCUGGGCACUGGCCCACGCCCACGGGCGCCGGCUAGGUCAGACGCUCACACGGCCGCUCAGUCCGGCUCAGUCUCAGAGCGCCGCCAGUCUGAAUCGCAGGCUGGUCGGCGACAGACUCGCUCGCGCUGGAGCCAACUUGUCCCAGAACCACUGCAACUAUCGUUGAUUUGGAUUAGAAAGACUGCCGUAGUUUAGCUACUCUAGGAUGAUGACCCUGUCUUCCGUGUGGCCGGCGAGCGAGAUGGCGCUGCUGCUGUUGCUCCUGCUGCUGGCCCUGCUGGCGUUUGGCGUGUUCAAAUCCAAGUACUUCGACCCCGCGGCGAUCCGCGCGCGCCGCAUCGCCGAGGGCUACCCGCAGUACAGCAGCCUGCCAGUCAUCGGCCACCUGCUACACGUUCU